UAUGAUAAGCUUUAAAGGAAAACUUUGACAAAAAACAACAACAGAUAUACAAUUACAAUUUCCCACUUACCCCAAGUGUACUCAGUGAAGACAUGUUUAGCAUCUGAUAGUUGCUUUUUGUUGUUGUUUUUUGCACUGCAGCUACAUGGCUAAAGAAUAAUGUAGUAAUGGUAGCAAGCCUAAAUCUUCAUGUACUUCAUUUAAUCAACACCAUUACGCUACAAAAUCCCAAUUUUAAAUACAUGAAUUAAGAGAUUUAAAAAACAAAAACUAUAUAACCAUCACUUGGGAGGUGGGAGCUAGAUGGCAGAUUGAUGGCAAACUUCUGUGAGGAAAAAAAGGCGUAAUAGCUAUUUUCAGAAAAAUCUUUAUUUAUGUGGAGAAGGCUUCAAAUAACAGUAUGUUCUACAUCACCAAGUCUCGAUGUUCCUACUGGUGUUAUCUGAUCUGUUAAUCUAGUCAACAUGGAGAGUUUUAUCAGAACGCUGCAUCACAUAAACAGAUGCAAAAAUUUUAUAUGUUUGUGGCUCAGAGCUGCUGAUUAGAGGCCGUGUGUGAGCAGUGAUAUGUCCCGGCUGGUGGGAGGUCAGACGUCACGUUUAGGAUGAACAUCUGGAGCUUUAUAGUAGAGCGAGUGAGCGAGCGAGAGAGAGAGAGCGAGAGAGAGAGAGCGAGAGAGAGAGAGAGAAGAGUGACAGGAAAUUUACUGGUCAUAGUGAUGUAGCUUAAUUCUUAUAUUCCACAGUGUUAUUGAAUUAACAGUUCAUUGUUACUAUAGAAACAUGUAAUGUGGAUUUAUAUGUCAGACACUCCACACAAUCUAAUCUAAUAAGAUGUUGAAGCAGAUGUUUAUUAACAUUUUUUGGAAGGAAUGUCCAGUGUCAGCACUUUGUAACAGAGGGGUUUCCGCUUUCCACUUUCUUGGUAAUGUGACAAGAUGUAAUGUAAUGUAAGUGAUAACAGGAACUGAUUAGUUUUUCAGUCUUGAUUUGUUGUUCCACACCAUUAAAUGUAAUUAUAUAAAGAUUUUAAAAAGUAUGACGUGUCAUUUUUUAAUAAAUUUAAAAAAUCUAAUGGUUAAUUUGCUGAGGUUUAAGAGAAAUAAAGCAUUUUCGGGAUAUGCCAUUACAGGUAAAGAUCAACUUUGGGGUGAUAACAAUAACGCCGCUUCACCACACCAGCCAGUCACUGAUU
Long non-coding RNA from Ictalurus furcatus (blue catfish), 1194 nucleotides. RefSeq lists it as uncharacterized. The transcript has 4 exons. NCBI's taxonomy places the organism in Eukaryota, Metazoa, Chordata, Actinopteri, Siluriformes, Ictaluridae. The record is from RefSeq and is a predicted model, not a curated record.